CGGAUAAUCGCUGAUCACCGCAUUUAAACCCCGACAGCUUCACGUUACCCCUACUGCCAAACAAUGAACCCCGUUCUCCAUUUGAACCCCAGUCGCCUGACGAUAACUCACGAUCGUCGUUGUGAACCCCGUUCUCAAGAAAACACCCCGUGUCUGCCUUUCUCCAUUUGAACCCCGCUCUCCAGAAAACACCCCGUGUCUUCCUU
This 206-nucleotide long non-coding RNA is filed under the name Lathyrus oleraceus (garden pea). Its description in RNAcentral is "Pisum sativum (pea) long non-coding RNA (PSAT_LNC003942)". Lineage: Eukaryota; Viridiplantae; Streptophyta; Magnoliopsida; Fabales; Fabaceae. The record is from RNAcentral.